RNAcentral lists this ribosomal RNA (250 nucleotides) under uncultured prokaryote. RNAcentral's name for it is "partial 16S ribosomal RNA". It matches the Rfam family "Bacterial small subunit ribosomal RNA", at positions 524 to 773 of the family's 1533-position model. The record is from RNAcentral.
UACGUAGGGGGCAAGCGUUAUCCGGAUUUACUGGGUGUAAAGGGAGCGUAGACGGCCAUGCAAGUCUGAAGUGAAAGCUCGGGGCUCAACCCCGGAACUGCUUUGGAAACCGUAAGGCUGGAGUGCAGGAGAGGUAAGCGGAAUUCCUAGUGUAGCGGUGAAAUGCGUAGAUAUUAGGAGGAACGCCGGAGGCGAAGGCGGCUUACUGGACUGUAACUGACGUUGAGGCUCGAAAGCGUGGGGAGAAAAC